Long non-coding RNA from Gambusia affinis (western mosquitofish), 433 nucleotides. RefSeq lists it as uncharacterized. The record is from RefSeq and is a predicted model, not a curated record. The transcript has 3 exons. NCBI's taxonomy places the organism in Eukaryota, Metazoa, Chordata, Actinopteri, Cyprinodontiformes, Poeciliidae.
CACGCGGUGCUCUCUAAUAUAGUAAUUAGAGAGCACCGCCUGUUCCUCCAUUAAUCCACUCUCCCAGAUUUAAUCUUUCAGGUUUUAGCUGCUCAUCGCUGGAUUCUUUCCUGGUUCUCCAUGUGGUUCCUGUCCUCGUGAUUCCUGCUUGUUGGAUCUCCUGAACCUGCAAUCCUCCACCUUCAGCACCACCAGUCAGGUGGAGGAAGAUAAGAGAACCCAGUUGACGAAAAAAAAAUCCUGCUGAUCAUCAAGAGAAGUUUCCUGCUGCAUCAGGGGGAACAGCUGAAGAUGGACGCAGAAUAAAGAGACAGAGAUCUUGUGAAGUGGAUCCUCAUCAGCCUGGAAUCCUCCACCUUCAGCACCACCAGUCAGGUGGAGGAAGAUAAGAGAACCCAGUUGACGAAAAAAGUAAGAACUUUUAAAUCUGAUG